Molecule: transfer RNA, 73 nt
Filed under: Triticum aestivum (bread wheat)
Lineage: Eukaryota; Viridiplantae; Streptophyta; Magnoliopsida; Poales; Poaceae
Also listed under: 1 other name
Rfam family: tRNA
About the family: Transfer RNA (tRNA) molecules are approximately 80 nucleotides in length. Their secondary structure includes four short double-helical elements and three loops (D, anti-codon, and T loops).
Source: Rfam by way of RNAcentral
GGAUCCAUGGCGCAAUGGUAGCGUGUCUGACUCUCAGAUCAGAAGGUUCCGUGUUCGAUUCACGUCGGGUUCA